GGCGGGGAGGUGUAGUGGUCUGCAUACGAGGCUCAUAAUCUUGUGGAUGUAGGGUUCGAUUCCCUACCCCCGCCACCA
RNAcentral lists this transfer RNA (78 nucleotides) under candidate division WWE3 bacterium. RNAcentral's name for it is "tRNA-Met". It matches the Rfam family "tRNA". Rfam says of the family: Transfer RNA (tRNA) molecules are approximately 80 nucleotides in length. Their secondary structure includes four short double-helical elements and three loops (D, anti-codon, and T loops). Further hydrogen bonds mediate the characteristic L-shaped molecular structure. tRNAs have two regions of fundamental functional importance: the anti-codon, which is responsible for specific mRNA codon recognition, and the 3' end, to which the tRNAs corresponding amino acid is attached (by aminoacyl-tRNA synthetases). tRNAs cope with the degeneracy of the genetic code in two manners: having more than one tRNA (with a specific anti-codon) for a particular amino acid; and 'wobble' base-pairing, i.e. permitting non-standard base-pairing at the 3rd anti-codon position. Lineage: Bacteria; candidate division WWE3. The record is from RNAcentral.